RNAcentral lists this ribosomal RNA (402 nucleotides) under uncultured Sphingomonas sp. Its description in RNAcentral is "bacterial SSU rRNA". It matches the Rfam family "Bacterial small subunit ribosomal RNA", at positions 355 to 774 of the family's 1533-position model. Lineage: Bacteria; Pseudomonadati; Pseudomonadota; Alphaproteobacteria; Sphingomonadales; Sphingomonadaceae. The record is from RNAcentral.
UGGGGAAUAUUGGACAAUGGGGGAAACCCUGAUCCAGCAAUGCCGCGUGAGUGAUGAAGGCCCUAGGGUUGUAAAGCUCUUUUACCCGGGAAGAUAAUGACUGUACCGGGAGAAUAAGCCCCGGCUAACUCCGUGCCAGCAGCCGCGGUAAUACGGAGGGGGCUAGCGUUGUUCGGAAUUACUGGGCGUAAAGCGCACGUAGGCGGCUUUGCAAGUUAGAGGUGAAAGCCCGGGGCUCAACCCCGGAAUUGCCUUUAAAACUGCAUCGCUAGAAUCGUGGAGAGGUGAGUGGAAUUCCGAGUGUAGAGGUGAAAUUCGUAGAUAUUCGGAAGAACACCAGUGGCGAAGGCGACUCACUGGACACGUAUUGACGCUGAGGUGCGAAAGCGUGGGGAGCAAACA